AGCUCAACUUUGUAAUCUGGCUGUCUUUGGCAGUCCGAGUUGUAGUCUAGAGAAGUGUUAUCCGCGCAGACCCUUAUAGAUUUCGGUUGGAAUGCCAAGUCAAAGAGGGUGAGAAUCCCGUAUUUGAUAAGGUGGUCUUGUGCAUUGUGAUACAUUUUCAAAGAGUCGAGUUGUUUGGGAAUGCAGCUCAAAGUGGGUGGUAAAUUCCAUCUAAAGCUAAAUAUUGGCGAGAGACCGAUAGCGAACAAGUACCGUGAGGGAAAGAUGAAAAGCACUUUGGAAAGAGAAUGAAAUAGUACCUGAAAUUGCUGAAAGGGAAACGAGUGAAGUUAGACUUGCGCAGUUGGUAUUCAGCCUUGGCUUCGGUCUUGGUGCAUUUGCCUUCUAUUGCAGGCCAACAUCAGUUUACUUUGCGGUAAAAGGGUUUGGGGAAUGUGGCUUCUUCGGGAGUGUUAUAGCCCUUUACUGGAUGCCGAAUCGUAGACUGAGGAACGCAGCGCGCCUUUAUGGCAAGGCUUUCAAGCCUCGAGCGCUUAGGAUGUUGGUAGAAUAGCUUUACACGACCCGUCUUGAAACACGGACCAAGGAGUCUAACAUGCUUGCG
Molecule: ribosomal RNA, 604 nt
Filed under: Kondoa sp. (in: rust fungi & allies)
Lineage: Eukaryota; Fungi; Basidiomycota; Agaricostilbomycetes; Agaricostilbales; Kondoaceae
Description: LSU rRNA
Rfam family: Eukaryotic large subunit ribosomal RNA
Source: RNAcentral